This 787-nucleotide ribosomal RNA is filed under the name uncultured Microvirga sp. RNAcentral describes it as "bacterial SSU rRNA". It matches the Rfam family "Bacterial small subunit ribosomal RNA", at positions 82 to 905 of the family's 1533-position model. The record is from RNAcentral. Lineage: Bacteria; Pseudomonadati; Pseudomonadota; Alphaproteobacteria; Hyphomicrobiales; Methylobacteriaceae.
UCCUUCGGGGUGAGUGGCAGACGGGUGAGUAACGCGUGGGAACGUGCCCUUCAGUUCGGAAUAACCCAGGGAAACUUGGGCUAAUACCGGAUACGUGCGAGAGCAGAAAGAUUUAUCGCUGAAGGAUCGGCCCGCGUCUGAUUAGCUAGUUGGUGAGGUAAUGGCUCACCAAGGCGACGAUCAGUAGCUGGUCUGAGAGGAUGAUCAGCCACACUGGGACUGAGACACGGCCCAGACUCCUACGGGAGGCAGCAGUGGGGAAUAUUGGACAAUGGGCGCAAGCCUGAUCCAGCCAUGCCGCGUGAGUGAUGACGGCCUUAGGGUUGUAAAGCUCUUUCGGCGGGGACGAUAAUGACGGUACCCGCAGAAGAAGCCCCGGCUAACUUCGUGCCAGCAGCCGCGGUAAUACGAAGGGGGCUAGCGUUGUUCGGAAUCACUGGGCGUAAAGGGCGCGUAGGCGGCUUUGUAAGUCGGGGGUGAAAGCCUGUGGCUCAACCACAGAAUUGCCUUCGAUACUGCAUGGCUUGAGACCGGAAGAGGUAAGUGGAACUGCGAGUGUAGAGGUGAAAUUCGUAGAUAUUCGCAAGAACACCAGUGGCGAAGGCGGCUUACUGGUCCGGUUCUGACGCUGAGGCGCGAAAGCGUGGGGAGCAAACAGGAUUAGAUACCCUGGUAGUCCGCGCCGUAAACGAUGAAUGCCAGCCGUUGGCGAGCUUGCUCGUCAGUGGCGCAGCUAACGCUUUAAGCAUUCCGCCUGGGGAGUACGGUCGCAAGAUUAAAACUCAAA